Physella acuta is the source of this 288-nucleotide long non-coding RNA. RefSeq lists it as uncharacterized. The record is from RefSeq and is a predicted model, not a curated record. NCBI's taxonomy places the organism in Eukaryota, Metazoa, Mollusca, Gastropoda, Physidae.
UUUUUAGGAUAAUAAAUUUUCUGAAAGAACGACAGGCAUUCAGACUGAAGUGGGUUGGAGCUCUGAGAAAUGCAAAGAUCAAAGUUAUGAUGAUCUAUGGACCUGCAGACCCCGUGAACCCAUCAGAAUUUGCACAGGUUUUUAGAACUACAGUCCCAGAUCAGACACUGAAGGUUCUUUCACCACAAGUUGGGCAUUACCCACAGUGGGAAGACCCAAAUGCUGUCAGCAAUGUUUUAAUUCAAUUUAUUAAGAACUUGCCCACUCCUUAAAUAGCUGAUUGUUUGA